GCCGCGGUGGUCUAGCGGUCAGAACGCUGGCCUUGUAAUCCUGGGGUCUCGGGUUCGAUUCCCGGCGGUGCCC
Molecule: transfer RNA, 73 nt
Filed under: Zootermopsis nevadensis
Lineage: Eukaryota; Metazoa; Arthropoda; Insecta; Blattodea; Termopsidae
Rfam family: tRNA
About the family: Transfer RNA (tRNA) molecules are approximately 80 nucleotides in length. Their secondary structure includes four short double-helical elements and three loops (D, anti-codon, and T loops). Further hydrogen bonds mediate the characteristic L-shaped molecular structure. tRNAs have two regions of fundamental functional importance: the anti-codon, which is responsible for specific mRNA codon recognition, and the 3' end, to which the tRNAs corresponding amino acid is attached (by aminoacyl-tRNA synthetases). tRNAs cope with the degeneracy of the genetic code in two manners: having more than one tRNA (with a specific anti-codon) for a particular amino acid; and 'wobble' base-pairing, i.e. permitting non-standard base-pairing at the 3rd anti-codon position.
Source: Rfam by way of RNAcentral